UUAUUAUUGGCAGUCGGUUGGCGAGGGAGGGUUACGGGGCACAGCCCUUCCUAGAAAAAUGAGGUACAAAUAAUAGGGAACUUGCACAUAAAAAUAUUUUUGCAUAAAAUUGUUAAUUUAUGUUUAAAAAUGUUAUAUUCAAAAUAUUACAUCUUAACAAUGAAUGGUGUACGUACAACAACUGAUCAAAGUUCCGCGCCCAAAAAUUUCUGUUUCAAACAAUUUCAAAAGCGCGAGCUGGGGUCUGACGUCACCAACCACUGUUCUCGUUCGCCCGUUCGGUGAGCCAUUGCAUGGAUGCAUUUUGCCAUUGCUAGUUGUGCGUGUCGAAUAAGUGCGUGUCGAAUAACUGUGUUGUUUGCUCGGUGUUUAUAAUAUUAUUGUAAUUAGUGUAUAAUAUACUUUAUCAAAAUUGAAAACAGAUCUGCCUAAUAUAAGUACUAUAUAGUGCUGUAAUGCCAAAGCACAACUGUCAGAAUAUCCAACAAACAUUUUUUUUACUCUAGUAGCAGAACCAAAAACGUCGAUUAAAAUGGCUAAAGGCAGGCUUGCGAGAUAAAAAGGAUAUUUCACAAAGUAGCAAAAGUCUUUAUUUCUGUGAGGAUCAUUCCGAUUUGGAACAAGAUAUGGAUAACUAUAUAUAAUUAAAGAUUAUGGGUGGUCCCAAAAUUAUAAAGUCAGGUGUUGUUUACGAGCUUUACCUUAAAAACGGUAUCUCAAUAAAGGUAUUCAGUGUUAAUUUCAAAGGAGCGUUACAGUCGAGUUGUCACCAUUGCAAAUACAUAAUAAGGAUGCAGGAACUUCACCUAUAAAAGACUUGAAACAUUAUUUGAAGAUACAAAAAGUGAAUCAGGAUGUUCUGUGUUUGAAGAUAAUAGUGAAUAUAGUGGUAGUGAUGACUAUUGGUACAAUGAAAGUGAUUCUGUAUCUUGUGAUGAAGAUGCGAAAGAAGAGGAAGCAAAACAAUUUAAAAGUUUGUCUCUGAAUUGUACAGUGAUGAAGUUUCAAUACAGACCUAGAUUGUAUACGUUUCAUUUUAUACCGCUUUAGUUAAUGGAAAUAAAACACAAACAAUG
This is a long non-coding RNA of Diabrotica virgifera virgifera (western corn rootworm), 1076 nucleotides long. RefSeq lists it as uncharacterized. Lineage: Eukaryota; Metazoa; Arthropoda; Insecta; Coleoptera; Chrysomelidae. The record is from RefSeq and is a predicted model, not a curated record. The transcript is spliced from 2 exons.